CCUACGGGGGGCAGCAGUGGGGAAUAUUGCACAAUGGGGGAAACCCUGAUGCAGCGACGCCGCGUGGGUGAAGGAGUACUUCGGUACGUAAAGCCCUAUCAGCAGGGAAGAAAAUGACGGUACCUGAGUAAGAAGCCCCGGCUAACUACGUGCCAGCAGCCGCGGUAAUACGUAGGGGGCAAGCGUUAUCCGGAUUUACUGGGUGUAAAGGGAGCGUAGACGGCAGUGCAAGUCCGGAGUGAAAGCCGGGGGCUCAACCCCGGGACUGCUCUGGAAACUGUAAGGCUGGAGUGCAGGAGGGGCAAGUGGAAUUCCUGGUGUAGCGGUGAAAUGCGUAGAUAUCAGGAGGAACACCAGCGGCGAAGGCGGCCUACUGGACUGUAACUGACGUUGAGGCUCGAAAGCGUGGGGAGCAAACAGGAUUAGAUACCCUGGUAGUC
RNAcentral lists this ribosomal RNA (440 nucleotides) under uncultured bacterium. Its description in RNAcentral is "partial 16S ribosomal RNA". It matches the Rfam family "Bacterial small subunit ribosomal RNA", at positions 338 to 795 of the family's 1533-position model. The record is from RNAcentral.